Molecule: ribosomal RNA, 449 nt
Filed under: uncultured prokaryote
Description: bacterial SSU rRNA
Rfam family: Bacterial small subunit ribosomal RNA
Source: RNAcentral
UAGGGAAUCUUGCGCAAUGGAGGAAACUCUGACGCAGCUACGCCGCGUGCAGGAAGACACCCCUAUGGGGCGUAAACUGCUUUUCUGCGAGAAGAAGGCCAUUCCCCCCACGGGGGAAGGUUUGACGGUACCGCAGGAAUAAGGACCGGCUAACUCCGUGCCAGCAGCCGCGGUAAUACGGAGGGUCCAAGCGUUGUCCGGUAUCACUGGGUGUAAUGGGUGUGCAGGCGGACUGACAAGUCAGUGGAGAAAGCCGGCAGCUCAUGUGCGGAAGUGCCACUGAAACUGGCAGGCUUGAGUCCCGGAGGGGUUAUCGGAAUUCGUGGUGCAGCGGUGAAAUGCGUAGAUAUCACGAGGGACACCAGAAGCGUAAGCGGAUAACCGGACGGUGACUGACGCUCAGGCACGAAAGCGUGGGGAGCAAACAGGAUUAGAUACCCCCGUAGUCC